Molecule: unclassified non-coding RNA, 292 nt
Organism: Macaca fascicularis (crab-eating macaque)
Lineage: Eukaryota; Metazoa; Chordata; Mammalia; Primates; Cercopithecidae
Rfam family: Metazoan signal recognition particle RNA
About the family: The signal recognition particle (SRP) is a universally conserved ribonucleoprotein. It is involved in the co-translational targeting of proteins to membranes.
Source: Ensembl
GCUUGGCUUGGUGGCACAGGUCUACAGUCCUAGCUACUAGUGAAGCUGAAGCAGAAUCACCUGAGCUCAGGAGUUCUUGGCUGUAGUACACAACGAGCAUUGGGUGUCCUCAGUUUGGCAUCAAUAUGGUGACCGCACAAGAGCCAGGGACCACCAUGUUACCUAAGGAGGAGUGAAGCAACUCAGGUCAGAAAUGGAGCAAGUCAAAACUCCCAUGCUCAUCAGUAAUGGGAUCAUGCCUGUGACUAACUCUGCACUCCAGCUUGGGCAACAUAGCAAGACCCUAUCUCUU